AUACGUAGGGGGCGAGCGUUGUCCGGAAUGACUGGGCGUAAAGGGCGUGUAGGCGGCGGUGUAAGUCUGGAGUGAAAGUCCCGCAUUCAAUGUGGGAAUUGCUUUGGAUACUGCAGUGCUAGAGUGCGGAAGAGGUAAGUGGAAUUCCCAGUGUAGCGGUGAAAUGCGUAGAGAUUGGGAGGAACACCAGUGGCGAAGGCGACUUACUGGGCCGUAACUGACGCUGAGGCGCGAAAGCGUGGGGAGCGAACAGGAUUAGAUACCCUGGUAGUCCACGCGGUAAACGAUGAGUGCUAGGUGUAAGAGGUAUCGACCCCUUUUGUGCCGGAGUCAACACAAUAAGCAUUCCGCCUGGGGAGUACGGCCGCAAGGUUGAAACUCAAAUGAAUUGACGGGG
This 397-nucleotide ribosomal RNA is filed under the name uncultured bacterium. Its description in RNAcentral is "partial 16S ribosomal RNA". It matches the Rfam family "Bacterial small subunit ribosomal RNA", at positions 523 to 918 of the family's 1533-position model. The record is from RNAcentral.